UACGUAGGUGGCAAGCGUUGUCCGGAUUUACUGGGCGUAAAGAGCGCGCAGGCGGUCGUUCAAGUCGCGUGUGAAAGCCCCCGGCUCAACUGGGGAGGGUCACGCGAUACUGAUCGACUCGAAGGCAGGAGAGGGUAGUGGAAUUCCCGGUGUAGUGGUGAAAUGCGUAGAUAUCGGGAGGAACACCAGUGGCGAAGGCAGCUCGCUGGGACGUGACUGACGCUGAGACGCGAAAGCGUGGGGAGCAAACAGG
This 253-nucleotide ribosomal RNA is filed under the name uncultured bacterium. RNAcentral's name for it is "partial 16S ribosomal RNA". It matches the Rfam family "Bacterial small subunit ribosomal RNA", at positions 524 to 776 of the family's 1533-position model. The record is from RNAcentral.